This 71-nucleotide transfer RNA is filed under the name Rhizobium herbae. RNAcentral's name for it is "tRNA-Phe". The record is from RNAcentral. Lineage: Bacteria; Pseudomonadati; Pseudomonadota; Alphaproteobacteria; Hyphomicrobiales; Rhizobiaceae.
AUGGAUUUAGCGACAACAACUUCGGAUUGAAAAUCCGCGUGUCGGUGGUUCAAAUCCGCCUCCGGGCACCA